GGGUUGUGAGGUUAAGCGACUAAGCGUACACGGUGGAUGCCCUGGCAGUCAGAGGCGAUGAAGGGCGUGCUAAUCUGCGAUAAGCGCCGGUAAGGUGAUAUGAACCGUUAUAACCGGCGAUACCCGAAUGGGGAAACCCAGUGUGAUUCGUCACACUAUCAUUAACUGAAUCCAUAGGUUAAUGAGGCGAACCGGGGGAACUGAAACAUCUAAGUACCCCGAGGAAAAGAAAUCAACCGAGAUUCCCCCAGUAGCGGCGAGCGAACGGGGAGGAGCCCAGAGCCUGAAUCAGCAUGUGUGUUAGUGGAAGCGUCUGGAAAGGUGCGCGAUACAGGGUGACAGC
RNAcentral lists this ribosomal RNA (343 nucleotides) under Salmonella enterica. RNAcentral's name for it is "bacterial LSU rRNA". It matches the Rfam family "Bacterial large subunit ribosomal RNA", at positions 1 to 371 of the family's 2925-position model. The record is from RNAcentral. RNAcentral also lists the same sequence under 1 other name. Lineage: Bacteria; Pseudomonadati; Pseudomonadota; Gammaproteobacteria; Enterobacterales; Enterobacteriaceae.